RNAcentral lists this ribosomal RNA (722 nucleotides) under uncultured bacterium. Its description in RNAcentral is "bacterial SSU rRNA". It matches the Rfam family "Bacterial small subunit ribosomal RNA", at positions 588 to 1308 of the family's 1533-position model. The record is from RNAcentral.
UCAGAGGUGAAAUCCCGGAGCUCAACUCCGGAACUGCCUUUGAAACUGGAAAGCUAGAAUCAUGGAGAGGUUAGUGGAAUUCCGAGUGUAGAGGUGAAAUUCGUAGAUAUUCGGAAGAACACCAGUGGCGAAGGCGACUGACUGGACGUGUAUUGACGCUGAGGUACGAAAGCGUGGGGAGCAAACAGGAUUAGAUACCCUGGUAGUCCACGCCGUAAACGAUGAUAACUAGUUGUUCGGGCACAACGUGCUUGAGUGACGCAGCUAACGCAUUAAGUUAUCCGCCUGGGGAGUACGGUCGCAAGAUUAAAACUCAAAGGAAUUGACGGGGGCCUGCACAAGCGGUGGAGCAUGUGGUUUAAUUCGAAGCAACGCGCAGAACCUUACCAGCGUUUGACAUCCUUGUCGCGGAUUUCAGAGAUGAUUUCCUUCAGUUCGGCUGGACAAGUGACAGGUGCUGCAUGGCUGUCGUCAGCUUGUGUCGUGAGAUGUUGGGUUAAGUCCCGCAACGAGCGCAACCCUCAUCUUUAGUUGCCAUCAUUCAGUUGGGCACUCUAAAGAAACUGCCGGUGAUAAGCCGGAGGAAGGUGGGGAUGACGUCAAGUCCUCAUGGCCCUUACACGCUGGGCUACACACGUGCUACAAUGGCGGUGACAGUGGGCAGCAACCUCGCGAGGGGUAGCUAAUCUCCAAAAGCCGUCUCAGUUCGGAUUGUUCUCUGC